AUCCAGAGCCAGCUCUGUCAGUGCUGCCCAGCCCCCCACUCAUUCUCCACCACCAAGUGGCUGCCUGGGAACAGGCACCAUUCCAUGCCCUGGAGAUCCGAGACCUGCACAUCCACACAUCAGCGUGGCCUGUACCAGACGCUACGGAGCAUGGUGGGUAGGAGAGGAAUCUGCAAAGGGCCUUGUUUGGUGCAGCAAGUGCUGUGCUUUGGGUGCGUCCCUGGAAUUUCAUUCUCAAAGUCAUUAUGUUGGUGGUAUUUGGAGGGGAAGCAUUAGAAGUUAAUUAGGAUUAGGUGAGGCCAUGAGGGAAGGGUCAGCUUUAUAAGAAGAGGAAGAUCACCAAGUAAUGCCCUCCACCACCUCUGGAGGCUACAGAGUCUCCACCGACAAGAAAGACAUCACCAGAGGUGGGUGCCCGAUCUUAAAAGUCCCAGCCUUCAGAGUCACGAGCCCAACCUAACUGUCUUGUUUAUAAAUUAUGUAGCCUGGGGUAUCCUGUUAGAGCAACAGAAAACAGACUCAGAAAGGAGUAGCAGGGUGGCUUCUGAAGAGAUCAAGAAAAUGAGAGGGGAAAAAAAAGGCAAGCCAUGUGGGAAUCCGGGAGAUAGAGCUCACCAGAAGCUCGAGUCCCCGAACCCUGAGUCCCUGAGGUGGAGCAUGCUGGGCUAUGUGACAGCAGCCCGGGGACCAGCAGGGGUGGAGAAGGUUAGCAAGGCAGGUGGAGAAGCAGCAGUCAGGAAGGCAGCAUGGGCCUGGGUGGCAACAAGGGCUUUGGCUCCACUAUGGCGGACAGGAAGAGUCCAACUGGCCCUAAGCAGCUGAGAAUCCCAUCAGAUUCUCAGGGGGCAGGGACACUGGGGCAGUGUUCUCCCGCUGCAGGGUGAGGAGGAGGCUGCUGAGGGGCUGGGGUGGAACUGGUGGGGCAGCUAAGUAAGUAACUCAUAUACCUCCUUGCUUGGCAAGGCUGGUAGGUGUGGGUUAAAUUUUAGAUGCAAUUUGAAGGCUGAGCUGUAGGAUUUGCUAAAGGAUUGGAUGUAAGGCAGUAGAAGAAAGAAGUUAAGAAUGUCUCAGAAAGGAGAAAAAUUAAAGUAAAAAGAAAAGCAAAAAAGACUAAUGUUUUAAUGCCAGCAAUGAGAAGCAGAAAUGUGCCAUUUUACUGAAUGGCCACAAAUGGAGCUGGUGUAGGAGCGAAGCAGGUUGGAGAGUGAGGGGUGGCUGGGACUGACUGAAGACAUCAAGUUUGCAAAGCCUGCUGGGUAUCCAAGGCGUGACGGGGAGUAGGCAGUAGCGAGCAGGGGAGGCGCUGGGGCUGCAGAUCUACAAGUGAAGGAUGCCAGUCUCCAGAAGCCAGCUGGGAGACCACACACUGUCACUGAGAAACAAGUGCAGAAAGACAGGAGAAGCUGGAGCACCGGCUGAGGAGCAACCCCAGGCGGUGAGAAAGGACACUGAUCACCAGCAGGACACUGAUCGCCAACUCACUGAGGUCCGAGAAGGUGAAAUUCUACCUGAGGAAGCAGCUUUGGGCCAAAAGCCUCUCCUGUCCUCUCUUCAUGGUACCACUGGGGCAAGGGGCUUCUUCCUAUUUGUCCAUUUGUGAGCACUACCAUGCAGAAGCCAGGCCACUGGCUAUGGAGCCAGCCAGAUCUUGGUGUAAAAAUCAACUUCUCUGAGGUUUUUUCAUUGCAAAAUGGAAAUGUCCAGUCUUAAAUGGGACCAGUAAGAAGAUGAAACACAAGGACAGAAAUAAAGUGGGAUGCUCGGCCAGGCUGCGUGUUCUCUGAUGUGUGGGUGACAAACACAAGGGUAGACACGCGUGGCACCUUCGCGGGAGCCUGUGUCAUAGAUGGGGGUGCACCUUAUGGACACUUUUAUAGCCUGGAUCUGGGAUGCUCCCCAAACUCACGUGCUGAAGGCCUAAGUGGGUGGACGCUAUUGGGAGGUGGUGGGGACUUUAGGCGGUGGAGCCUAGUUUGAGAACUGGGUUGCUUCUCUCUCUCCCUUUCUGCUUCCUGGCCAUCAUGAGCCUUUGCUCUGCCACCAUGAUUGCCUUACUGUAGAUUCAAAAUC
RNAcentral lists this long non-coding RNA (2070 nucleotides) under Heterocephalus glaber (naked mole-rat). RNAcentral describes it as "lncRNA (ENSHGLG00000046564.1)". Lineage: Eukaryota; Metazoa; Chordata; Mammalia; Rodentia; Bathyergidae. The record is from RNAcentral.